GCUGAGGUGGAAAAAAAAAACCAAAAAUACAACUCAUAAGCGGAGCAAGCCAAAAUGGGUUAUUCUAAAUCAUUUACAGACCCGACUCUAAACCUAACCCCCAAACUCUCUCCAUUGAAGCCAGUGCGAAGUCGUCCUCUCCAAAUCUCUAGGCAAUCGUUCACCUUGCUUCCGACCGGGAAAACACCGGCAAUACUCAUCAUUAUCUCCGCCCAAUUUCUUGUUAAGAACACUACCCUCCAAUUGCGACGAUUUUCGAGACGACCAUCGAAGUGGCCCAUACACCUCCUCCGUUGGCAAUAGACGAUCGGUGGAAUACCUCAUUCGUAUUGGGUAAGUAAAAAGAAGGCAAAACAUGUGAUUCUCCUUUUUUUUGUGAAUUUGUUUUAUGGUUCUGAAAUUGAGAACGAAAAUGGGUGAAGAGUUGCACUUGCGCUAUGUUUCUUGGCAAUGCAAUUGUGACAAAGUGAGAUGACCAUUUAUUUUUUUUCAAAUUAAACAAGUAAAAAUUGUAAUACAAUAUUCUAUCAAAUAAUUCCUGCACAUGGGUAUUUUCUUAGAUCCCAUAAAUUUCAAUAAACCAUUGAUUAUUUAAUUUCCUUGAAAGAUACACAUGAUGUAUAUUUCCUUGUUGAUUAUUGGACUUAAUGGCUGUAAUUUUUCAUGUUUUCAAACUCCAUUGUAUGAGACGAGUCAAAAGCCUAUUGGCAUUAUGAAUCUGUCUAUGAUGAUUGAAUGAGUGGUUCCAUAUUGGGAUGAGAAAAUGAUAAAUUUGGAGUCUAAAUUUUAUCGCUUUACACAAGAUAUUAUAAAUCAUGUUUAGCUAAUUGAGAUGCCUGUCAAAUGUUUUGGCUGUGUCCCAGAAAAAUGCAUUAUAACUGUCUGUCAAAUGUUUUGGUAGCGAAAAUGGUUUUGUAUAUUGUAUUAUAAAUUAUGUGUUGUGAGAAUACUGUCAGUUGAACUCUAAUGUAGAAUUCUCCUAUAAUUUGAAUUAGACAUCGAAUUAGUUGCACCAUUCAUUGGUUAUUUAUUGUGGCUGAACCUGGUUGGCCGGAAAGAAUGGGGGAAUUUGUCAUUAUUGUAGAAUGUCGGGACAUAUGAUGUCAGAAUGCCCCAAAAAGAGAAUAUGCCCCAACUGCGGUGUAGGAUUCGUCAAAUGGAUGGAGGUCGAAAAUAACAAUGAAAAUAAAGGGCUAUUGUUUCAUUGUUAUACCCGCAAAUGCAAGUUCUACAAUGGUGUAAGAAUAAGCCCGAUAAAAAAUGUACAUUGCAUGACGAUGGGGACUCAAGUGGUACAAACGAAGCUAAGCAUGUGGAUGAUUUGUCACAUAUGUUGAAAUCCUGGCUAAGCUAACAGAUGAGAAGGACUUGGAGAUUUCCUUUAACAUAAAGAUGCGCAAGAGGACACGAGUUUCGGCAGAUGAAAAGGACUUGGAAUGUGAAACUUGAGUCGUUGUAUUAGUGUGUAGUACGGCAUGUUUUAUAUAGCGUAAUGUGGUGGCAAUUCCAUUCCAGUUUGUAGUAAUUUAGAGUAUGUGGCUAUGUUGUCUUCUCUCAAGUUUCGAACUUCAAACUAUAAAUGUGCCAAUGUAGUCUUAUUCCAGUUGCCUAUUAUAAGUGUUGUCUUCUCUCAAGUCUCGAACUUCAUUAUUAAUAGGAGACAUGCUAUUCUCCACAUGUGGCUUCAUCAGAUUCCAAAUAAC
This 1703-nucleotide long non-coding RNA is filed under the name Olea europaea subsp. europaea. Lineage: Eukaryota; Viridiplantae; Streptophyta; Magnoliopsida; Lamiales; Oleaceae. The record is from RNAcentral.